AUGAACGCUAGCGGCAGGCCUAAUACAUGCAAGCUGAACGGUAAAUAUUGUAGCAAUACGAUAUGAGAGUAGCGUAAGGGUGCGUAACACGUAUGCAAUCUGCCCUGUACAGGAGAAUAGCUCGGCGAAAGCCGGAUUAAUACUCCGUAAUAUUAUUGAAUGGCAUCAUUUGAUAAUUAAAGUCGCAAGACGGUAUGGGAUGAGCAUGCGUCUGAUUAGCUAGUUGGUGGUGUAACGGACCACCAAGGCGAUGAUCAGGAGGGGAACUGAGAGGUUGAUCCCCCACACUGGCACUGAGAUACGGGCCAGACUCCUACGGGAGGCAGCAGUAGGGAAUAUUGGUCAAUGGGUGAGAGCCUGAACCAGCCAUGCCGCGUGCAGGAAGAAGGCCUUCUGGGUUGUAAACUGCUUUUGCCGGGGGAUAAAAUUCCCAUGCGUGGGAAAUUGAAGGUACCCGGUGAAUAAGCCAUGGCUAACUACGU
This 482-nucleotide ribosomal RNA is filed under the name uncultured bacterium. RNAcentral's name for it is "bacterial SSU rRNA". It matches the Rfam family "Bacterial small subunit ribosomal RNA", at positions 29 to 506 of the family's 1533-position model. The record is from RNAcentral.